CGGAAGAUGUAACGGGGCUAAACCAUGCACCGAAGCUGCGGCAGCGACACUAUGUGUUGUUGGGUAGGGGAGCGUUCUGUAAGCCUGCGAAGGUGACCUGUGAGGGUUGCUGGAGGUAUCAGAAGUGCGAAUGCUGACAUAAGUAACGAUAAAGCGGGUGAAAAGCCCGCUCGCCGGAAGACCAAGGGUUCCUGUCCAACGUUAAUCGGGGCAGGGUGAGUCGACCCCUAAGGCGAGGCCGAAAGGCGUAGUCGAUGGGAAACAGGUUAAUAUUCCUGUACUUGGUGUUACUGCGAAGGGGGGACGGAGAAGGCUAUGUUAGCCGGGCGACGGUUGUCCCGGUUUAAGCAUGUAGGCUGAUUGUCCAGGCAAAUCCGGAUAAUCAAGGCUGAGGUGUGAUGACGAGGCACUACGGUGCUGAAGUAACAAAUGCCCUGCUUCCAGGAAAAGCCUCUAAGCAUCAGG
Molecule: ribosomal RNA, 465 nt
Filed under: Klebsiella pneumoniae
Lineage: Bacteria; Pseudomonadati; Pseudomonadota; Gammaproteobacteria; Enterobacterales; Enterobacteriaceae
Description: partial 23S ribosomal RNA
Rfam family: Bacterial large subunit ribosomal RNA
Source: RNAcentral